Long non-coding RNA from Papaver somniferum (opium poppy), 1209 nucleotides. RefSeq lists it as uncharacterized. The transcript is spliced from 6 exons. The record is from RefSeq and is a predicted model, not a curated record. NCBI's taxonomy places the organism in Eukaryota, Viridiplantae, Streptophyta, Magnoliopsida, Ranunculales, Papaveraceae.
UUGGACUGAAAUAUGUUGUUAAACCAUGUUUACCUUUAUCUUGUUGUGCAGAAUUCAGAAUCGUUAGAUGAGCAUAAGUUAUUAUUUAGUUUAUAGUGUUACUCGAUAACUAUGUAAUUAUCUUAAUUAGAUUGUCACGUUGUUGAAUAUCUUUUGAAACUGUUGGCUUGUUCGGAGGUGAUGAUGGAAAGAAAGGUGGCGCGGGCAUCAGGAAACAAGCUGAAUCUGGGGAUUGCGCAUAUGUGAUCAGAAACUAUCGUCGAGGCAUGUGAAAGUUCUGACUUCUGAGUUGGGGAGCUUCAAUUUUUGUUGUUAAUUAAACCAUGGUCUCACCUUCAAAAUCAGUACACCCGCAGUCUCUUGGAGGUUGGUACUUUAAGUUCGUGGAGUAUCAUUUAAGAUUAAUGGGAAGGAAUUCGGUGUUGCCCCAAGUUAGGACAGUGACAAAUUGUUCGUCGGCAAUAUAUGAAAGACAUGAACAAAGGAAGCUCCCCCUGCAUGUGCCCCUCGUACAACUGGUGCUGGACCUGGAGUUGUAGGAGUACAUGGAUCCUAUGUGGAUGCAGAUACAAAGUUGAGGUUUGUCAACUUCAAAAGGUUUAUGAGAAGCUCAAAAGAAGUCGAAGAGCCAUUCAUCCAUGCUUCUCAAGCUAGACAAGUUUUUUACUGCAGAGAUGUGACAAGGGAGGAUUGGAAUUUGGUUUUGUAAUCUCCAAUAAGAUCAGACCCCAAUAAGAAUGCUUUGGAAGAUCUAUCUGUCUUCACUGCAAAUGCGAAUGAAGAUCCAUCAAUUUUGACAACUGUUAGAGAUGAUUAGUAUUGGAAUGAAGAAGCUCAGGGCACGAGAAGUGGGGAUACACGUACGUGAAUGAACUUUCCCAACACCUUAUAUUUCAACUGGUGGAAAUCAUGCAGCUCCCCUGCGCACAUGAAGUCGCACAUUGAUGCGUUGCUUGAUAUCAUUUGUGAAGUAUUGUCAUAGGAGGAGCUGAAUUAUCAUUUUGUUUUUUUUAUCAGUUUAUUAGUUUAGCAUGUUGUUGUCAGAACUUAGCAAUCUUGGACAUGUAUUAUCUGAACUCAGUAUUUCAUUUUUUUUAUGUAGUUUUACACCCAAUGGAAUGAAUGUUAAAAUUCUCAGUUAAAUUUGAAGUUGCACUUGAAUUUCAGUUAAAUUUGAGUUGCAUUUGAAUUUCAGUUAAAUUUGAGGUU